Molecule: ribosomal RNA, 468 nt
Filed under: uncultured bacterium
Lineage: Bacteria
Description: partial 16S ribosomal RNA
Rfam family: Bacterial small subunit ribosomal RNA
Source: RNAcentral
GACGAACGCUGGCGGCGUGCUUAACACAUGCAAGUCGAACGGAAAGGCCCUGCUUUUGUGGGGUGCUCGAGUGGCGAACGGGUGAGUAACACGUGAGUAACCUGCCCUUGACUUUGGGAUAACUUCAGGAAACUGGGGCUAAUACCGGAUAGGAGCUCCUGCUGCAUGGUGGGGGUUGGAAAGUUUCGGCGGUUGGGGAUGGACUCGCGGCUUAUCAGCUUGUUGGUGGAGUAGUGGCUUACCAAGGCUUUGACGGGUAGCCGGCCUGAGAGGGUGACCGGCCACAUUGGGACUGAGAUACGGCCCAGACUCCUACGGGAGGCAGCAGUGGGGAAUAUUGCACAAUGGGCGGAAGCCUGAUGCAGCAACGCCGCGUGCGGGAUGACGGCCUUCGGGUUGUAAACCGCUUUCGCCUGUAACGAAGCGUGAGUGACGGUAAUGGGUAAAGAAGCACCGGCUAACUACGUG